RNAcentral lists this long non-coding RNA (1459 nucleotides) under Macaca fascicularis (crab-eating macaque). RNAcentral describes it as "lncRNA (ENSMFAG00000055518.1)". The record is from RNAcentral. Lineage: Eukaryota; Metazoa; Chordata; Mammalia; Primates; Cercopithecidae.
UUUUUUUUUUUUUUUUUUUUUUUGACAAAGUCUCACUCUGUUGCCCAGACUGGAGUGCAGUGCAGUGGUGCAAUCUCAGCUGACUGCAAACUUCUCCCGGGUUCAAGCGAUUCUUGUGCCUCAGCCUCCGGAGUAGCUGGGACUACAGGAACACACCAUCACGCCUGGCUAAUUUUUUUGUAUUUUUAGUGGAGACAGCGUUUCACCAUGUUGGCCAGGCUGGUCUCAAAUUCCUGGCCUCAAGUGAUCCACCCACCUAGGCCUCCCAAAGUGCUGGGAUUACAGGAGCCUCCUGUUCUUUACCCGGCAGUCUGUUCAAACUCCAAUCCACUCAUCUCGCCCUGCUGAAAACUGUCCUGUGUCUCUUAAUGCACUCAGAGUAAAAUGCAGAGCCCUUUCCACAGCCCACAGCGUCCACCCUCCCCAGGGCUCCCCCAGUGACCCCUUCCCCUGGCAUUUGCUGGUUCUGAUUGAGGGACAGUGUUCCUGUGGCUUCACACACACACACACACACGCACACUCACCAUCAUUCUCUACUCCCCAGCUCUGCUUUAUUUGCCUUUAACACUGAUCAUCACAGAAUGCAUCCUACUUCCUUCUACCUGUCUCCCUCCAUGCAUGGAAGCUCCCUGAGGGCAGCGCUGAAACACUGCCUAACACAGAGCAGGAUCCCAAUCAAUAUUGGUGGAAGCCCAGACAAAAUAUCAGUUCAGGAAAUAUUUAUUGAAUGAAUGAGUGAAAACAAACCAACUCUCCAAGUUAGGAGUUAUUAUGGCGUGUCACAUGCAGAGAAUCAAUGCCUAACUUAGCAAGGGUUUCCCAGGAAUAAAUAUUAGGGUUAAAGGCCCAGGGCUGACAGCCAAUUUUCUGGGCUGGCGAUGUUCUCCCUGGCGGUAUUCUUUUCCAUCUUCAUAAUGUGAGAAAGCAUUGCUUUCCCACCAGGGACUGUGAUGCUGAGAUUCUAGGGUAGGUAUUGAGGUAGGAACACAACUCCAGAACCGCUGCAGAAACCAUCAGGAUAAAGCUAAAUCUGGUGAAACACAUCAGCAGUAUCUGGGAACAUGAUGUGUUAGUCUGUGCAAAGCAGGUGUUGCUGUGGUAACAAACGAACCCCCCAAUCUUGAUGGCUUAGUCAAAUAACAGUUUACCGCUCACUGACAGCACCAAUGCAAUGGGAAAAGGGUAGGGGUUCUUCUCCAUGCAGUCACUCAGAGACCCAGGCUCCAACCACGGUGGGGCUCUGCUAUGUUCAAAGCAUGGCUUUCAAGGUCCCUACAGAAAGGGAAGAAAGGGAAGGACCAUGCAUGGGAGAUAUUUUAUGGCCCAAGCCUAGAGUAGUGAACAUCCCUUCUGCCCACAUCCUAUUAGCCCUACCUACAUGGAGUUGGAAAUGUACUUUUCCUACAAGCCCAGAAGAGAAAUGAGAUGGUCUUAUGAGCAUAUAGCAUUGUCUGUGCCA